RNAcentral lists this ribosomal RNA (2922 nucleotides) under Klebsiella pneumoniae. Its description in RNAcentral is "bacterial LSU rRNA". It matches the Rfam family "Bacterial large subunit ribosomal RNA". The record is from RNAcentral. Lineage: Bacteria; Pseudomonadati; Pseudomonadota; Gammaproteobacteria; Enterobacterales; Enterobacteriaceae.
GGGUUGUGAGGUUAAGCGACUAAGCGUACACGGUGGAUGCCCUGGCAGUCAGAGGCGAUGAAGGACGUGCUAAUCUGCGAAAAGCGUCGGUAAGGUGAUAUGAACCGUUAUAACCGGCGAUGUCCGAAUGGGGAAACCCAGUGCAAUUCGUUGCACUAUCGUUAACUGAAUACAUAGGUUAACGAGGCGAACCGGGGGAACUGAAACAUCUAAGUACCCCGAGGAAAAGAAAUCAACCGAGAUUCCCCAGUAGCGGCGAGCGAACGGGGAGCAGCCCAGAGUCUGAAUCAGCUUGUGUGUUAGUGGAACGGUCUGGAAAGUCCGACGGUACAGGGUGAUAGUCCCGUACACCAAAAUGCACAGGCUGUGAACUCGAAGAGUAGGGCGGGACACGUGGUAUCCUGUCUGAAUAUGGGGGGACCAUCCUCCAAGGCUAAAUACUCCUGACUGACCGAUAGUGAACCAGUACCGUGAGGGAAAGGCGAAAAGAACCCCGGCGAGGGGAGUGAAAAAGAACCUGAAACCGUGUACGUACAAGCAGUGGGAGCACCUUCGGGUGUGACUGCGUACCUUUUGUAUAAUGGGUCAGCGACUUAUAUUCUGUAGCAAGGUUAACCGUAUAGGGGAGCCGCAGGGAAACCGAGUCUUAACUGGGCGUUAAGUUGCAGGGUAUAGACCCGAAACCCGGUGAUCUAGCCAUGGGCAGGUUGAAGGUUGGGUAACACUAACUGGAGGACCGAACCGACUAAUGUUGAAAAAUUAGCGGAUGACUUGUGGCUGGGGGUGAAAGGCCAAUCAAACCGGGAGAUAGCUGGUUCUCCCCGAAAGCUAUUUAGGUAGCGCCUCGUGAACUCAUCUUCGGGGGUAGAGCACUGUUUCGGCUAGGGGGUCAUCCCGACUUACCAACCCGAUGCAAACUACGAAUACCGAAGAAUGUUAUCACGGGAGACACACGGCGGGUGCUAACGUCCGUCGUGAAGAGGGAAACAACCCAGACCGCCAGCUAAGGUCCCAAAGUCAUGGUUAAGUGGGAAACGAUGUGGGAAGGCACAGACAGCCAGGAUGUUGGCUUAGAAGCAGCCAUCAUUUAAAGAAAGCGUAAUAGCUCACUGGUCGAGUCGGCCUGCGCGGAAGAUGUAACGGGGCUAAACCAUGCACCGAAGCUGCGGCAGCGACACUAUGUGUUGUUGGGUAGGGGAGCGUUCUGUAAGCCUGCGAAGGUGUGCUGUGAGGCAUGCUGGAGGUAUCAGAAGUGCGAAUGCUGACAUAAGUAACGAUAAAGCGGGUGAAAAGCCCGCUCGCCGGAAGACCAAGGGUUCCUGUCCAACGUUAAUCGGGGCAGGGUGAGUCGACCCCUAAGGCGAGGCCGAAAGGCGUAGUCGAUGGGAAACAGGUUAAUAUUCCUGUACUUGGUGUUACUGCGAAGGGGGGACGGAGAAGGCUAUGUUAGCCGGGCGACGGUUGUCCCGGUUUAAGCAUGUAGGCUGAUUGUCCAGGCAAAUCCGGAUAAUCAAGGCUGAGGUGUGAUGACGAGGCACUACGGUGCUGAAGUAACAAAUGCCCUGCUUCCAGGAAAAGCCUCUAAGCAUCAGGUAACAUUAAAUCGUACCCCAAACCGACACAGGUGGUCAGGUAGAGAAUACCAAGGCGCUUGAGAGAACUCGGGUGAAGGAACUAGGCAAAAUGGUGCCGUAACUUCGGGAGAAGGCACGCUGGUGUGUAGGUGAAGUCCCUGCGGAUGGAGCUGAGACCAGUCGAAGAUACCAGCUGGCUGCAACUGUUUAUUAAAAACACAGCACUGUGCAAACACGAAAGUGGACGUAUACGGUGUGACGCCUGCCCGGUGCCGGAAGGUUAAUUGAUGGGGUUAUCCGUAAGGAGAAGCUCUUGAUCGAAGCCCCGGUAAACGGCGGCCGUAACUAUAACGGUCCUAAGGUAGCGAAAUUCCUUGUCGGGUAAGUUCCGACCUGCACGAAUGGCGUAAUGAUGGCCAGGCUGUCUCCACCCGAGACUCAGUGAAAUUGAACUCGCUGUGAAGAUGCAGUGUACCCGCGGCAAGACGGAAAGACCCCGUGAACCUUUACUAUAGCUUGACACUGAACAUUGAGCCUUGAUGUGUAGGAUAGGUGGGAGGCUUUGAAGCGUGGACGCCAGUCUGCGUGGAGCCAACCUUGAAAUACCACCCUUUAAUGUUUGAUGUUCUAACGUUGGCCCCUGACCGGGGUUGCGGACAGUGUCUGGUGGGUAGUUUGACUGGGGCGGUCUCCUCCCAAAGCGUAACGGAGGAGCACGAAGGUUAGCUAAUCCUGGUCGGACAUCAGGAGGUUAGUGCAAUGGCAUAAGCUAGCUUGACUGCGAGCGUGACGGCGCGAGCAGGUGCGAAAGCAGGUCAUAGUGAUCCGGUGGUUCUGAAUGGAAGGGCCAUCGCUCAACGGAUAAAAGGUACUCCGGGGAUAACAGGCUGAUACCGCCCAAGAGUUCAUAUCGACGGCGGUGUUUGGCACCUCGAUGUCGGCUCAUCACAUCCUGGGGCUGAAGUAGGUCCCAAGGGUAUGGCUGUUCGCCAUUUAAAGUGGUACGCGAGCUGGGUUUAGAACGUCGUGAGACAGUUCGGUCCCUAUCUGCCGUGGGCGCUGGAGAAUUGAGGGGGGCUGCUCCUAGUACGAGAGGACCGGAGUGGACGCAUCACUGGUGUUCGGGUUGUCAUGCCAAUGGCACUGCCCGGUAGCUAAAUGCGGAAGAGAUAAGUGCUGAAAGCAUCUAAGCACGAAACUUGCCCCGAGAUGAGUUCUCCCUGAGACUUUAAGUCUCCUGAAGGAACGUUAAAGACGAUGACGUUGAUAGGCCGGGUGUGUAAGCGCAGCGAUGCGUUGAGCUAACCGGUACUAAUGAACCGUGAGGCUUAACCUUACAACGCCGAAG